Molecule: ribosomal RNA, 497 nt
Filed under: uncultured bacterium
Lineage: Bacteria
Description: partial 16S ribosomal RNA
Rfam family: Bacterial small subunit ribosomal RNA
Source: RNAcentral
GAUGAACGCUGGCGGCGUGCCUAAUACAUGCAAGUCGAGCGAACGGACGAGAAGCUUGCUUCUCUGAUGUUAGCGGCGGACGGGUGAGUAACACGUGGAUAACCUACCUAUAAGACUGGGAUAACUUCGGGAAACCGGAGCUAAUACCGGAUGAUAUUUUGAACCGCAUGGUUCAAAAGUGAAAGACGGUCUUGCUGUCACUUAUCGAUGGAUCCGCGCUGCAUUAGCUAGUUGGUAAGGUAACGGCUUACCAAGGCAACGAUGCAUAGCCGACCUGAGAGGGUGAUCGGCCACAGUGGAACUGAGACACGGACCAGACUACUACGGGAGGCAGCAGUAGGGAAUCUUCCGCAAUGGGCGAAAGCCUGACGGAGCAACGCCGCGUGAGUGAUGAAGGUCUUCGGAUCGUAAAACUCUGUUAUUAGGGAAGAACAUAUGUGUAAGUAACUGUGCACAUAUUGACGGUAACUAAUCAGAAAGCCACGGCUAACUACGUG